RNAcentral lists this ribosomal RNA (325 nucleotides) under uncultured eukaryote. Its description in RNAcentral is "partial 18S ribosomal RNA". It matches the Rfam family "Eukaryotic small subunit ribosomal RNA", at positions 1470 to 1796 of the family's 1831-position model. The record is from RNAcentral.
CCCUUAGAUGUUCUGGGCCGCACGCGUGCUACACUGAGUGGAUCAGCGGGUCAGGUUGCGCGAAAGCGUUUCCUAAUCUUUAAAUCCGCUCGUGAUGGGGAUUGACGGUUGCAAUUUUCUGUCAUGAACGAGGAAUUCCUAGUAAGUGCAAGUCAUCAGCUUGCGCUGAUUACGUCCCUGCCCUUUGUACACACCGCCCGUCGCUACUACCGAUUGAAUGGUUUAGUGAGAUCUCUGGAUUGACGCUGGCUAGGGGGCGACCCUUGGCCAGACUGUUGAGAAACUGCUCAAACUUGAUCAUUUAGAGGAAGUAAAAGUCGUAACA